UACAAAGAGGAAUGGUCGAACUCUCGCGCACUUUCUUUUCAGCGCUGUGUGUGUAUACAUUCGCUCAGCUGUUCUGGUCAGAAGUGAUCACUCGGCUCAUCUGAUUGCACAAAUUUUCGAAGCUCUGUGGUUUAUUUUUAGUACAAAGGUGCCAUGUCGUUUCGGAACGAUCCUCGUGGAUUUUUGCUGCGUAACAGCAGGCUACGUUGUUUCUGAUUCGGUCGAUACACGACGUUCUGUUUUCUCGUUGAUCGGGAGAAAGACCAGCGUGUUCACGCCACUCUCCUCGGCCUGUGUUCUCGUUCUGGAUAUAAUUUGACGUUAAUCCGUGAUCGAUGCGUUCCGCAAAUUGAUACCGAACCCCGACCGUAACGAGCCAGCCAGAAUCAUGAAGAAGUCACGUCCGAAUAUUUUCCGUGACAUCUACUAUCAGCCAUACAAUGACUGCACCAGGAUGAAUCUUUACGGCAGCAGCAAAGCGAGCCUUCAAAUGAUGCAGCGUAUGACUCUGUUAAAGAGACUGAAAGUGCACAAUGGUUGCAUCAAUUCUGUCUGUUGGAAUGCUACCGGUGAUCUAAUAUUGUCUGGUAGCGACGAUCAACAUCUUGUACUUACGAACCCUUAUACCUACGAGGUGUUGUCAAAGUAUAAAACCAGCCACAGAGCAAACAUAUUUAGCGCGAAGUUUCUUCCAAAUAGCGGAGACCACCGGAUAGUUUCCUGUAGCGGCGACGGCAUUAUUUUGUACACAGAUUUAAUGAGAAAAGUAGAAACAUUUUCCAAUCGAUUCAAUUGUCACAGCGGCACUACCUACGAAGUAGUCACGAUACCCGGUGAACCGCAUAGUUUUCUAAGUUGCGGCGAGGACGGAACAGUGAGAUUCUUUGAUCUCAGAAUAAAGGACAAAUGCAAUACGCAAAAAUGUAAAGAGGAUGUGCUUAUUUCUUGCGAGAGAGCUAUAACAACCCUGUCUAUAAACCUCACCAUGCCACAUCAAGUAGCAAUCGGUUGUUCGGACGGAACAGUACGAAUAUACGACAGAAGAACGCUAGGAACUCCGGCCACCGGACUGACAGAAGCGAGCGCGAUGGAUGCCAUAUGCACAUUUACCGUUCCCGAAUUCGAAGGAAGUUCUCACAGGAUGACAUCGUUGACUUACAGUCCCGACGGGCAAGACAUUCUCGCCAGCUACUGCAGCGACCAUAUUUAUUUGUUCAACAUAAAGGACCAAGGCAACAUUCAGUUGAAGAAAGACGUUCCGGUGGAAAAGAAAGAGGUGAAGAAGCUGCGGUCACCGUUGCCGGUUCGCAGAUUGAGACUCAGAGGAGAUUGGUCCGACACCGGGCCGGAUUCGAGACCCGAACGCGAGGGAGCUCGCCGCAGUAGGAGACAAAUAGCCCAAGCCAGACCGGUGCUUCACACGUCGUUGAUGCAGAGAAUGACCGAUGUUCUGAGCCGAAUGUUGAACGACCCGGUGACUAGAGCCGCGUUAUGCGGCGGGGGCGAGGACGGUUUGGAGGGUGUGGUCUUGAAUCAAGAGAAUACUCAAAACAGCAACGACAACGCGGCGGAGAACAGCGAGGAGAGACAAAGCGAAGAAGCGGAAGGUGGCGAGACCGCUACCGUGCAGAGUACUCGGGAAACGAAUAGAUUGGUGGACGAAAUGGACGACGAGGGGACCGACGAGGGCAUGGACGAAGGGACCAAUCGAGGGGCCGACGCGGUGACGGAUACGGUGACGGACGUGGGGACCGACGUCGGAAUCGACGGUGGAACCGACGAAGGCUCGGACGAGGCUCAGUCGAGCAAGGAGUCCGAGGAUUACAGCGAGUCCUACGACUCUGAUUUCGUGAAACAGAAGUAUAUGGGCCACCGCAACGCAAGGACCAUGAUUAAAGAAGCGAACUUCUGGGGAAACGAUUUCGUCAUGUCGGGUAGCGACUGCGGCCACGUGUUCGUCUGGGAAAAAGCGACCGCCAAACUGUGCAUGCUGCUGGAGGCCGACCAUCAUGUCGUCAAUUGUCUGCAGCCCCAUCCCUAUCUACCCUUAUUGGUCACCGCUGGUACAGACCACGACGUCAAACUGUGGGCUCCCACAAACGAGGAGUCCGGCUUCGACGAGAAAUUUGCUGAAGAUCUGAAAAAGAGGAACGCGAUCAUGCUGGAACAAACCAGAGACACUAUGACCGUACCUGCUAGUUUUAUGAUCAGAUUGCUGGCGUGUCUCAAUCACAUACGCAGAGGUAGUGAAAAUUUAUAAUACUCCCCAAGACUUCUAAUCGAUAGUUGUGACUACGGUAGUAGUAUGAUCGGCGACACAUAGUUAAGAAAAAUUAAUGUACCGAAGAGUUUGGCGGCUUUUCCUGUGACGCGCAGGACGCGGUCGGAUCAGGGGACGAAGCGGAUACGACUCCACCGCAUUAUGAAGUCGCUAAACGAUUUUCAAAGGAACUGCCGCCGGUUUUAGCGUGGGAGGACUGUUCCGAUCGGACGACAUAUCACGUCGAUCGCCCAACACCGAUUAGUCGAGUUCGCAGGGAAUAUGGAUCCAGGAAAAAACGGAAACAAAAAAAAUAUAUAUAGAAGGGAAACAGAGAGUUCAACGUAUAUUUAUGAUUCA
RNA transcript from Megalopta genalis, 2620 nucleotides. It is a transcript of the gene named DDB1- and CUL4-associated factor 6, with no coding region annotated. Lineage: Eukaryota; Metazoa; Arthropoda; Insecta; Hymenoptera; Halictidae. The record is from RefSeq and is a predicted model, not a curated record.